AGGUGGAGGCAAGGUGGUGUAGUUGCUGCCAGGUCGUCCAGUGGCCCGUGAGGAGGGUUCUGGAAGCUGCAGGAAUUAUUUGAAGACGCUUGAGGAAUACUGGCUACAUUCUUCUGCUGACCCUAUUCCAGCUCAAACAAAGCUUGGGGUGAAGGCUAUUAUGAAAACAGGGACCAUCUCCGGCCUGUGGAGCUCUUCCCACACAAUAAACCAAGCUAGUAAAUGGUAGAAAAGUAGAGAUGCUGCUGUCUUCCAAGAUUGAAGGAAAGACCAGCCUGACAGCAGACUCCUGGCCUCUAAGUUUCUUGACCACUGAACCAGCGGCAUCUGAACUUUUUGCUGUGGGAGAAAGAUCAAACCCUUCCUUGGCCGACUCAUUGUUAUUUUGGGUUUUCUGUUACCAGCAUCCAAACACAAUCCCUAACUGAUAAAGUUGUUGCCAUUAUAACGAAGCAAAAUCAGAGACAACCAAGCAAGAAGCAAGACUAUGAGCUCCAUAGCAUAUUAGCCAGAAGGUGGCAAAGCUUUCUGCUCUAUGGUAGCUCUCCCACGGUCUCAGGUGAAGGACUCCAGCCAGCCUUGCUCUUCUACUGUUAGCACCUGCUACAGCUUUGAGUGUGACCGAAGGGAACAUCCACUGCAUGGGUACCAAAUCUUGGGUUCUAACCUCUGUUUGGUUGAGCAAAUCUCUUAACCACCUGUACAAUAAGGAUAAUAUCUUUCCUACCUAUCUCACAGGGUGUUUGUUGAAAUCAAAUAAGAAAAAUACAAGGAAAUGCUCUUUAAAACUUAAAAAAUGCUAUGUACAUGUGAAGUAGCAUAUUAUUAUUGUUCCUAAUCCCUAUUUAUUUAUUUUCACAGCAGGCACCACUUACAGUGUAAACAGGCUCAAUCAUGGUGCUAAUGCAAAAAUCUAUAUCUUAAAGCACUAUUUUUUUGCAAAUCUAUUCUAACU
Long non-coding RNA from Lemur catta (Ring-tailed lemur), 955 nucleotides. RefSeq lists it as uncharacterized. The record is from RefSeq and is a predicted model, not a curated record. The transcript is spliced from 3 exons. Lineage: Eukaryota; Metazoa; Chordata; Mammalia; Primates; Lemuridae.